Molecule: ribosomal RNA, 885 nt
Filed under: uncultured bacterium
Lineage: Bacteria
Description: bacterial SSU rRNA
Rfam family: Bacterial small subunit ribosomal RNA
Source: RNAcentral
AGAACGAACGCUGGCGGCGUGGAUAAGACAUGCAAGUCGAGCGAAGUAUGAAGGGUAGCAAUAUUCUUUAUACUUAGCGGCGAAAGGGUGCGUAACACGUAGAUCAUCUGCCUCCAAGUGUGGGAUAGCCCGGCGAAAGCCGGAUUAAUACCGCAUGUGGUCGUGAGAUUAAAGCCGGGGACCGUAAGGCCUGGCGCUUGGAGAUGAGUCUGCGGCCUAUCAGCUUGUUGGCGGGGUAACGGCCCACCAAGGCUAAGACGGGUAGCUGGUCUGAGAGGACGACCAGCCACACUGGAACUGAGACACGGUCCAGACACCUACGGGUGGCAGCAGUCGAGGAUUUUUCUCAAUGGGCGAAAGCCUGAAGGAGCGACGCCGCGUGGGGGAUGAAGGUCUUCGGAUUGUAAACCCCUGUCACUUGGGAACAAAUUGGAUCACCCAACACGUGAUCCAUUGAUAGUACCAGGAGAGGAAGCAGUGGCUAACUCUGUGCCAGCAGCCGCGGUAAUACAGAGACUGCAAGCGUUGUUCGGAUUCAUUGGGCGUAAAGGGUGCGUAGGCGGUGAGGUAAGUUGGAUGUGAAAUCUCAGGGCCUAACCCUGAAAGUGCAUCCAAAACUGCCUUGCUUGAGGACUGGAGGGGAGACUGGAAUUCUCGGUGUAGCGGUGAAAUGCGUAGAUAUCGAGAGGAACACCAGUGGCGAAGGCGGGUCUCUAGCCAGUUCCUGACGCUGAGGCACGAAAGCCAGGGUAGCAAACGGGAUUAGAUACCCCGGUAGUCCUGGCCCUAAACGGUGCUCACUUGGGUGUAAGAGGAAUCGACCCCUUCUGUGCCGAAGCUAACGCAUUAAGUGAGCCGCCUGGGGAGUACGGUCGCAAGAUUAAA